UUUUAGCCCUGAUGGAAGUGGCAUCCUUUUAUUGUCGAGUUUUUUAACGAGACAAUAAAAGAUACAACGGACAGCAGGAAUAGCU
This 85-nucleotide small RNA is filed under the name Flavobacterium gillisiae. Its description in RNAcentral is "Flavo-1 RNA". It matches the Rfam family "Flavo-1 RNA". Lineage: Bacteria; Pseudomonadati; Bacteroidota; Flavobacteriia; Flavobacteriales; Flavobacteriaceae. The record is from RNAcentral.